AUUGAACGCUGGCGGCAGGCCUAACACAUGCAAGUCGAGCGGAUGAAGGGAGCUUGCUCCUGGAUUUAGCGGCGGACGGGUGAGUAAUGCCUAGGAAUCUGCCUGGCAGUGGGGGAUAACGUCCGGAAACGGGCGCUAAUACCGCAUACGUCCUGAGGGAGAAAGUGGGGGAUCUUCGGACCUCACGCUAUCAGAUGAGCCUAGGUCGGAUUAGCUAGUUGGUGGGGUAAAGGCCUACCAAGGCGACGAUCCGUAACUGGUCUGAGAGGAUGAUCAGUCACACUGGAACUGAGACACGGUCCAGACUCCUACGGGAGGCAGCAGUGGGGAAUAUUGGACAAUGGGCGAAAGCCUGAUCCAGCCAUGCCGCGUGUGUGAAGAAGGUCUUCGGAUUGUAAGGCACUUUAAGUUGGGAGGAAGGGCAGUAAGUUAAUACCUUGCUGUUUUGACGUUACCAACAGAAUAAGCACCGGCUAACUUCGUG
Molecule: ribosomal RNA, 484 nt
Filed under: uncultured bacterium
Lineage: Bacteria
Description: partial 16S ribosomal RNA
Rfam family: Bacterial small subunit ribosomal RNA
Source: RNAcentral